UCUUGACCUCGGAUCAGGUAGGGAUACCCGCUGAACUUAAG
This 41-nucleotide ribosomal RNA is filed under the name Pyrenochaeta sp. RNAcentral describes it as "partial 28S ribosomal RNA". RNAcentral also lists the same sequence under 1 other name. Lineage: Eukaryota; Fungi; Ascomycota; Dothideomycetes; Pleosporales; Cucurbitariaceae. The record is from RNAcentral.